CUUCUUACUAAUUUUUGUUACUUUCUAUGACAGGUGUUUGGAGACCUCUGGGAUAAAGCAUUUCUCACUGCUGCCUCUGCUCCUCUACAUGGGAAGAAACAUAGGUAAAGAAAUGUGACUGUGUAAGACUCCUAGCAUCUAUAAUCGUUGGUCGGUUUGGAAAUACAUAUUGCUCUUGCAUAUAAUAUUGUUGUCGGAAGGAAAGAAAGCAAGCUGUCUUACAAUUGAGCACAAUUUGUCAGCAAAAACAGGAAGCAGCUUUCUUUCCCUGCAAUUGUUAUUGGUCACAUCAUAUUAAACUCAGUCUGGUUAAUUCACAGAAUUAGUUUGUUGUGCUCUCCUGAUUACAGUUAGUACACUCAGCUGAGCUGACAUUCUUAGCAGUGAGUUGGAAAAUGCUGUGAUAGCAGUAUAAAAAAAAAAAGGUGUUAAGAAAAAAGCAAAGAAAGUUGAUCAGUUCAGGUAUCAAAGUAGGAAAAACAAAAUACUGACAUUGCUGAAAUGAAUAGAUUGUGUUGCAUGUGGGGCACAGGAAGUGAUAGAAGGGAUUUGGAUUGUUGUGAUUUGGGAGGAUAUGGACACACAAACACACACAUAGUUUUUAUAAUGUAAUUCAGUGAUUUGGGAGAAUAGAUGGAUUCACACAAAGCCUUUAUAUUGUAAUACAUGAUGCCACUCCUAUUACAAUGUACCAGAGCAUGGCAGUAGUGUAUAAGUUUAUAAUGAAGUUCCUUUUGUGUCUUGAGAGCAUGCAGUAUUGGUUAUUAAACUCUGUCAAAACAUUAAAAGGAAGUACAUACAGGGUACGAUCAAUUAGUAGUAGGACUGAAUUUCUGUAGCGCGAACAGAGCAGUGGAGGGGAUUGGACCGUCUGGGCGUCAUAGUUAGGAACCUUCCGGAUAUUUUUUUCCAGUUGCGUGCAGGAAAACGGUGAGGAGCACAUCGGUUUUUCUGGUCCUCCGAUCCAUAGUGUGGUCGCGUUUAGAGAUGGAGAAAAAUCUGGGUGAAACUCGGGAAAACCACAAUGGAGACUCUUGGAAUGAUUAAGGACGCCUACAGGGAUAUUGCCCUGAACUGCUCAACACUGUUAGUGGCACAAGCUGUUUCUAGAGGGGUGGGAGCUCGUUGAAGAUGACCAGCACGCCGGUCCCCCAUCAUCUUACAAGGAUUGAUGAAAAUGUGGCCAAAGUGAAGGUGCUCCUGGACUCUGGCGGGCGCUUAAACAUUCAUCUGAUGGUGAUGCGUUGGGGAUGUUGUAAGGUGCCAUACAAAAAAUUGUUACCGAGGAUUUGGCCAUGUGAAAGCUGUGUGCCAAGUUUGUGCCUAAAAUCCUGAGUGACAAACAAAAGCUGAAUUGUGUGCAAAUUUCCCAGGAAAUACUGAAAAACCCCAAAUUUUCUUCACAAUUUGAUUACCAGUGACGAAUUGCGGUGUUUUGAGUACAACCCAGAGACCAAACACCAGAGUGCUGAGUGGCACAUUGCCAAUUUUUUUGCUGUUGGGGAGUGGUUCACUGGGAGCUGUGUGAAUGCUAAAUGUUAUGUGGAAGUGCUUAAAAGGUUGUGCAAAUUUGUCCUCAGAGUGUGGCCAGACUGCUGCUUGUUAGAAGCUGCACCAAGAUAACAUGCCAUGUCACAGCAUGCUGCGAAUGUUGGAACACGUGGCCAAGCACAGGGUUGCCACAUUGCCUCACCCUCCUUAGUCCAGGUCUUCUUCCUCUCCAAUGGAACCUCAGUGGAUACCAAUUCGGCUCUGUAGAAGGUGUCCAAAAUGCUGUGACAGUGUCCCUAAAGAGGAUCAUGGAAAGCAAGUUCCAGAAGGCAUACGUGCAGUGGGAAUCGCGUCACACGCUUUGUCGAAGUACAAGGGUGCUACUUCGAGGAAUUCUAAGGAUUAGUACCAGGUAAUUCAGUAAAAAAAAAAUUAAAUUAAUUCAGUUCUGCUUCUUACUGAUUAAACCCUGUAUUUAUUUUGUAAAAGAAAUAAACCGAUGGAAAAACUUGCAACCUGUUCCAA
Schistocerca americana (American grasshopper) is the source of this 2016-nucleotide long non-coding RNA. RefSeq lists it as uncharacterized. NCBI's taxonomy places the organism in Eukaryota, Metazoa, Arthropoda, Insecta, Orthoptera, Acrididae. The record is from RefSeq and is a predicted model, not a curated record. The transcript has 3 exons.